CCGUCAUUCCACUUCUCUAGAGACGAGGAAACCAACCAGACUGUUAUUGAAGGAAUGGGAGAACUGCAUCUUGAUAUCAUUGUAGACAGACUAAAGAGGGAGUUCAAGGUUAGUAUUCUGACUAGCUGCAUUUAUGCAGUUGCAUGCGCUGUAUGUUUCUUUAAUUCUAUUCUAUAUAGAAAUUUAUUAUUCGGUCAUUAGCUGUUGUCGAGUCAGAGUUUUGUACCUGUCACAUUACCUUUACUUCUUUUAUGCAAACGAUCUGUGCAGGUUGAAGCAAACGUUGGAGCUCCACAAGUCAACUACCGUGAAAGUAUUUCCAAAGUUGCGGAAAUACAAUAUGUCCACAAAAAGCAAUCUGGUGGAUCUGGGCAGUUUGCAGACAUUAUUGUGCGUUUUGAACCUUUGGAAGCUGGAAGUGGGUAUGAGUUCAAGAGUGAAAUCAAGGGAGGGGCAGUGCCCAAAGAAUAUGUACCAGGGGUGAUGAAAGGAUUGGAAGAAAGCUUACCCAAUGGUGUCCUAGCCGGUUACCCAGUUGUGGACUUCCGGGCUGUGCUGGUUGAUGGCUCAUAUCACGAUGUCGAUUCAAGUG
RNAcentral lists this long non-coding RNA (592 nucleotides) under Zea mays. RNAcentral's name for it is "long non-coding RNA (ZMAY_LNC000736)". The record is from RNAcentral. Lineage: Eukaryota; Viridiplantae; Streptophyta; Magnoliopsida; Poales; Poaceae.